This 440-nucleotide long non-coding RNA is filed under the name Panax ginseng (ginseng). RNAcentral describes it as "long non-coding RNA (PGIN_LNC004118)". Lineage: Eukaryota; Viridiplantae; Streptophyta; Magnoliopsida; Apiales; Araliaceae. The record is from RNAcentral.
CUCCUUCUUCCUCCUUAUGUGAAGUCUAAAAUUCAAUUGUUUUACCUCAAUGAAAGGCCCCUUUUGCUUGCCUAUUCAUUUCUUCAAAUUCACUAUUAUGCUCCAUUGAUCUCUUUGAAAAUUGAUUUCCAUUAUCCAUAAUUCCCCUUUGUUCCCGUUGAGAAAAGAUACCAACUUUAAUAUUUCACCCUCAUAAAAACCCAAAAAUAAUCCAUAAGAUCUAUCCUUUCCAUUCUCUCCUUUCAUAUUAGUUGGAAACUGUGCAAAAGAAAGUUAUUACCCCAAGUCAAUCAAGUGUCAGCAACACAAAUCUUAAUGAGAUGCGUGCAACUUUGAGAAAGCAAAUCAUGGAAGCAAUUUCCUCUAAAUUCAUUUGGAGAACCAAAGUACAGUGACAUUUAAGUAUUAUCAUUUCAUGGUUAAAGUUUUGAAUAUUCAAA